Molecule: ribosomal RNA, 497 nt
Filed under: uncultured bacterium
Lineage: Bacteria
Description: partial 16S ribosomal RNA
Rfam family: Bacterial small subunit ribosomal RNA
Source: RNAcentral
GACGAACGCUGGCGGCGUGCCUAAUACAUGCAAGUAGAACGCUGAAGCUUGGUGCUUGCACCGAGCGGAUGAGUUGCGAACGGGUGAGUAACGCGUAGGUAACCUGCCUGGUAGCGGGGGAUAACUAUUGGAAACGAUAGCUAAUACCGCAUAAGAGUAGAUGUUGCAUGACAUUUGCUUAAAAGGUGCAAUUGCAUCACUACCAGAUGGACCUGCGUUGUAUUAGCUAGUUGGUUAGGUAACGGCUCACCAAGGCAACCAUACAUAGCCGACCUGAAAGGGUGAUCGGCCACACUGGGACUGAGACACGGCCCAAACUCCUACGGGAGGGAGCAGUAGGGAAUCUUCGGCAAUGGACGGAAGUCUGACCGAGCAACGCCGCGUGAGUGAAGAAGGUUUUCGGAUCGUAAAGCUCUGUUGUACGAGGAGAACGAGUGUGAGAGUGGAAAGUUCACACUGUGACGGUAACUGACCAGAAAGGGACGGCUAACUACGUG